Molecule: ribosomal RNA, 252 nt
Filed under: uncultured bacterium
Lineage: Bacteria
Description: partial 16S ribosomal RNA
Rfam family: Bacterial small subunit ribosomal RNA
Source: RNAcentral
UACGGAGGAUGCGAGCGUUAUCCGGAUUUAUUGGGUUUAAAGGGUGCGUAGGCGGGAUGCCAAGUCAGCGGUAAAAAUGCGGUGCUCAACGCCGUCGAGCCGUUGAAACUGGCGUUCUUGAGUGGGCGAGAAGUAUGCGGAAUGCGUGGUGUAGCGGUGAAAUGCAUAGAUAUAUGGAAGAACACCAGUGGCGAAAGCGGCUCUCUGGUCUGUAACUGACGCUGAGGUUCGAAAGCGUGGGUAGCAAACAGG